This 497-nucleotide ribosomal RNA is filed under the name uncultured bacterium. RNAcentral's name for it is "partial 16S ribosomal RNA". It matches the Rfam family "Bacterial small subunit ribosomal RNA", at positions 28 to 507 of the family's 1533-position model. The record is from RNAcentral.
GAUGAACGCUGGCGGCGUGCCUAAUACAUGCAAGUCGAGCGAACGGACGAGAAGCUUGCUUUUCUGAUGUUAGCGGCGGACGGGUGAGUAACACGUGGAUAACCUACCUAUAAGACUGGGAUAACUUCGGGAAACCGGAGCUAAUACCGGAUAAUAUUUUGAACCGCAUGGUUCAAAAGUGAUAGACGGUCUUGCUGUCACUUAUAGAUGGAUCCGCGCUGCAUUAGCUAGUUGGUAAGGUAACGGCUUACCAAGGCAACGAUGCAUAGCCGACCUGAGAGGGUGAUCGGCCACACUGGAACUGAGACACGGUCCAGACUCCUACGGGAGGCAGCAGUAGGGAAUCUUCCGCAAUGGGCGAAAGCCUGACGGAGCAACGCCGCGUGAGUGAUGAAGGUCUUCGGAUCGUAAAACUCUGUUAUUAGGGAAGAACAUAUGUGUAAGUAACUGUGCACAUCUUGACGGUACCUAAUCAGAAAGCCACGGCUAACUACGUG